UACAGGGGGGUGCAAACGUUGCUCGGAAUUAUUGGGCGUAAAGCGCGUGUAGGCGGCUUGGUAAGUCCGCUCUGAAAGCCCGGGGCUCAACCCCGGGAGGCGGGUGGAUACUGUCAAGCUCGAGUCCGGAAGAGGAGACUGGAAUUCCUGGUGUAGCAGUGAAAUGCGUAGAUAUCAGGAGGAAUACCGAUGGCGAAGGCAGGUCUCUGGGCUGAAACUGACGCUCAUGCACGAAAGCGUGGGGAGCAAACAGG
Molecule: ribosomal RNA, 254 nt
Filed under: uncultured bacterium
Lineage: Bacteria
Description: partial 16S ribosomal RNA
Rfam family: Bacterial small subunit ribosomal RNA
Source: RNAcentral